UACGUAGGGUCCAAGCGUUGUCCGGAUUUAUUGGGCGUAAAGAGCUCGUAGGCGGCUCAGUAAGUCGGAUGUGAAAACUCGGGGCUCAACCCCGAGACGCCAUCCGAUACUGCUGUGGCUUGAGUCUGGUAGGGGAACACGGAAUUCCUGGUGUAGCGGUGAAAUGCGCAGAUAUCAGGAGGAACACCGGUGGCGAAGGCGGGUCUCUGGGCCGAUACUGACGCUGAGGAGCGAAAGCGUGGGGAGCGAACAGG
This 254-nucleotide ribosomal RNA is filed under the name uncultured bacterium. RNAcentral's name for it is "partial 16S ribosomal RNA". It matches the Rfam family "Bacterial small subunit ribosomal RNA", at positions 524 to 776 of the family's 1533-position model. The record is from RNAcentral.